CUGAGAAAUCAAAAUCUGGUUUCUCUCAUUCCCAGUAAUGUACAUAAAUUGCAUGGAUAAAAGGCAUCUUAAGUCAAAGUGAUACUACUCAUUUGAACUGUUAAUCUGAUGAGAAACUGGGACCAAAAAACAUUGGUUUCAGAUGAGACAGCUUUGAAUGAUGAUUGAGAACCCAUUGGUCAGUAAAACCCAACAUUUUGACUCCUUUUUCUGCAACACUUUGUUCUUUAUCCUCAACASUAGGAAGUCAGGUGCCUGGAAACAUGGCUGGGAAACCCAAGCUCUACUACUUCGAUGGCCGAGGCCGGAUGGAAACAAUUCGGUGGCUGCUAGCAGCAGUUGGAGUCGAGUUUGAAGAAGUUUAUCUGGAAACAAGGGCUGACCUACAAAAGCUACAGAACAGUAAGUUUGCCUGAUUUUUUAGUGAUAGAACUAUUUGUCUUAGAAAUYUGARAAGUCUCAUGUCUCUUCAAAGAAAUCGAGAUUGGAUCUUAGAAGAAUGAGUUGAUCCUCCUGCCGCCUGCUAGCUUUGAAAAAGCACAGCAGGAUUUAUGGUCAUGAGCAUAAUAAUAAAAUWAUGCCC
Nothoprocta perdicaria is the source of this 583-nucleotide long non-coding RNA. RefSeq lists it as uncharacterized. Lineage: Eukaryota; Metazoa; Chordata; Aves; Tinamiformes; Tinamidae. The record is from RefSeq and is a predicted model, not a curated record. The transcript has 2 exons.